UCGCGGAUGUGCUUGAUGUUACGC
Molecule: non-coding RNA, 24 nt
Filed under: Arabidopsis thaliana (thale cress)
Lineage: Eukaryota; Viridiplantae; Streptophyta; Magnoliopsida; Brassicales; Brassicaceae
Source: RNAcentral